CGGGGACCAGGCACGGCGCUGCCCGAGGAAGGGCAAGGAAAUGGCGGCCGGGGGCUGCCUGCGCCCGCCGGGUGGUCCUGCCCGCGUGUCAUCGCCACAGGCAGAGGGAUCGGGGUUGGGGGUGGCCCACCAGGGUCGGGCGGCUGGGAGAGGGGUCUACAAACGCUGUGGGUCUUCUUUGUCUGCCUUAGGUCCUGCAGGAGUCAUGUUUGUGUUACUUCCCCGCAGCUCUCGAGGUGUACGCGCGCGCGCCGCCUGUGGAGGGUAGGAAGUGCCUUUGCUUCUGAGGCCAGGGAAGAAGGAACAGCAACCUGAGAUUUUACAAGAUAAAUGCAACAGUAAGAAGUUAACAACGUUGGUUAUAAGCAAAGAGAAAACAGGUAGUAAAGCAAAAAGAAGAACCUCAAAGUUGUAAUAUGCCAGGUGGAUGUAAAACGUGUCUAUGCGUUUUCUGCCAAAAUGUUUGUUCUGGCUUUUGUGUUAAGUCACUGUUAAAUUAUAUAGUGUUUCAGUUACUGCGUAUAUCCCUAAGUAUCCUUUUUUGUUGUUACCUCCAAAACAAGAAGGGUGUUUGUUAAAAUUAAGAUUUUUUUAAAGUAUAAAUUAAAGUUUAAUUUAGCAUGUCUUUAAUUUAAAUAGAAUUUAAAGCACAGCAUAGUCUAGGUUUUAGUGUUGUCAUUAUAAUAGUUUUUAACAACUUGUAAUAAAAAUUAUAGAGUUCGGAGCUUAAUAGGAAAUGUAAAAAUAUCUGAAUUUUCAGGUCUUGAAUAAGAUUUGCCAGUCAACGAAGUAAAUCUGUCAUGUAUAUGUGCAAAUGGAAUAACUCAUAGUAUAUGUAAAUGUUGAAUGAAUUAGUUAGGUAAAGUGAAUGGAGGUAUUAAUUUAUCUUCAUUGUUCACUUUGUGUGAAUUCACUUCAGAAACUUAAGGACAGAGCUUUUGUCAUAUUCCUAAUUCAGCAUGGCCUAACCAUGACCAACAAGGUGAGGGGCAGUUCACACCUCCUCUGGCCAAGCCCCAUCAAGAGUGCGCUGCAUGAGCUGCCUACUCAAGGUGACGCUGCAGCAAGAGCUGCCAUUCAGAACUUGGAAACCCAACCAAUAUGGAUAAAAGUAUCAGCAGUAAUGUGUGUCUUUAGUUUUUGCAUUUCAGCAGUUCAGAUUUCACUGAAAAUUCUUUGGGAUCUUCAGCACAUGGAAGAUUAGAAUCAGUAAUUUAGUAUUAUAAUGAAGACUAAUUAAGGCCUUUCCAAGAUACCAGAAGGUGAUCAAGGAAAGCUCUCUUCUUCCUUUGCAAGUCUAGUCUGCUGCUAUUAGAUUAAAUGAAGCGCAACUCAUGGUUAAUGAAGUUUUUACUAUUCUAUUGAAAUAAAAUUUAGUCUCUUAAAAUGCUUCCCUUUCAUACACAAUUUCUGUCCAUACUUUAUCUAUUUUAGCAUAAUCAUAACCCAUAUUUAGCCCAGAAAAAUGUUUUUAGAUUUUACUAAUUUCAAAACAUUGUCAAGUAGACACACCAGUGUAUCUUCUGUAUGUAUUGACAGCCUAAUUCGCAUGCCUAUAAGUUCAUCUAAGACUCUUUCCACUAAUGCAUAGAAAACAAAUGACCUUUCAGGGAAAUACCUAUCAGUGUUUUAAUCAAUGCUGCUGCUUUUCGGUUAGGAUUAUUAAAAAUCUCAAACAUUAAUCUCCUAUAAAUGCAGAACGACAGUCAUUUUAGAUACUGGUUUCUUUGGAGUCCAGUUGAUUUGUAGGAGUACAUACCGGAGUGAUUAAUGAGAUUUCAGUAACUUUUUGCAUAGCUUCUUACCUAAAGCAAAUAAAAUAAAAGUCAAUAAACAAACAAAAACCCCAAACCAGCAAGGGCAAAUUAGUUGUGUGCCUUUCACUGCUUCCUGUAAAAUCUUACACUGACUCCUAAAGGUUUCAUUUUGCAUGAAAGCUAUUUAAGCAAGAGUUUUAGCAGAUGAAGAAGACAGUUGAAGAACUUGUGAAUGUUUCUUAGGUUCUGCUUUAUAAAGUCUGUUAGGCACACUUGGCACAGGCUAUGAGUCUGACCCUGAUUUCCAAGCACGUGAAUGGUCAAAAUAAAAUGCCAUUUCUGUAAUACUUUUUUUCCCUUUUUUUUGAAGUGUAUAUUAGGCACACAUCUGAAGAAACAGUAUUUUACUCCUUUAUUUUAAGUUUAGGUAGCAGUCACAAGAGAUUAGAUGCUGUUAAGUGUAAUGAAGCAUGAAGAUUACAAGAUGAAUGAACUGGAGGCUUUUCAGCUCGAUAGCAUCAUUCAGCACAUAAUGAUACAGAUUUUGUAUUUCAGACAAAAAUGUCACCUUGGGGUUGAAAUCAUGCUAGAUGAAUUUGUGCGAACUUGUUUUGUAGUCAACCACUGGAUCCCUUAGCUCAAGAAGAAGGAAGAAAGAUAAUGAUUCAAUUAACUAAAACUGCUGCUUUGAAAAAUGUGUUUUCCAGUGUAAAACUUAUUUUAUUCAUCCCUAAUUAUCCACUGCUGAAAACUGUUAACUGUUAUUAAGGAGAAAUAAGUCUGAGGUUUUGGGAGCAUGGCAAGUUUUUCCUGCUAUAAGCUCCACAAUGAUCUUUUCCUAUACUAAUCCUAGAUGGUGUAUGUUUUCCUUUAUUUCUACCCAACUUUCCUUUUUAUUUGUAAUAUAUGUGUGAAAUGUUCAAAAAUUACUGCUUUAAGAGCAGUUAAGAUAUUACUACCUCAAAAACACAUCAUUGUUCCAUACAGUUGUAUUUGUUUUGCUGAGUAGGUUCCAGCUCAGUUACAGAAGAAGUUACAGAUAAUGCAAAAAAACCGUCUUAGAGCAGCAGCUGUUGCUAUAGGCAGAUUGGCCAAAAGCCUGUCCCUAUAUUUCUUUACAUGGAAACAAAGGGAUAGAUCUAUGUAUUGUCUGAAUAGAGAACAUGAUGUUGUUGUGUGCCUGUGACAAAAAAUACAAUAGUAUUUUUUUUGAAAAGUAUACUUACUUAUGGAUUAAAAAAAAUUGGAAUAUACCAUGUAUUAAGCUUGUAGUUGAUCAAGAUCAGUUAUUCUGGUUAUGUUCCUUCAGAGAUGAGAGUUUUAGUGACAGGGUAAAAUACUUCUACAUCUGUGGAAUUUAAAGCCUGCUACUGUCAAGUUGCCAGGACCCUUAAAUGUGUGCUGAAGUGUCCUUCUCUCUUUUAGUAAAUUAAAAAUGUUUAUACUUACUGUCACAAGUAGUAGAAGAAUACCAACAAUUGCUUCCGUGUUUAGAAUUCUGUGGAGUCUGCUACCUGUGAGCAGACUCUGCUUAAAUUCUCUGAAACUACUGAUCGCUAACCUCAUUCUUGACAUACUUCACCCUCCAACAGCCUGCUGAAACUUCUGUUACACCUUCUGGGAAUCUAUCUAUAGUAAUUUCUUUCUCUCCCCACAUGGCUUCAAGCCAGAAAUAAAUCCAUUUGCACAAAUGCUUCUUAACCUUGCAGGUUUUUUUAAUUUUUUUUUUCUUUCUGCUUCUCUGGUUGUUGGAUGCUUUUCUAGUAAAUUCAGUACUUGCCGUGUUUGCUGUGUAAUGAACUGGUGGUUACAAUGCAUUUUCUAAACUACUGUUUGUUUCAGUUUUAGUGCACUGAAUAAAAUUAUUUCUCUGUUGUCAUUUUAUGGGCAUCUUACUGUAAUGUAGUCCAGGCUGGAUGGAGCUCUGAGCAACCCGGUCUAGUGAAGAGUGUCCCUCCUCAUGGAAUGAGAUCAUCUUUAAGGUCUCUUCCAACCCAGGCCAUUCUAUGACUCUGUGUACAUGUGUAUAGACACGCAUUAUAUGUAUAUAAACGUAUACAGUAUAGAACUGUAGGUUUAUCAGAAUUAAUUGAAAAUGAGCCAGCUUGGAUAUCAAUACCAACACCAUUACUGAGGAUACAUGUAUAGACACAUAGAGCAAACCUCAGCUGCAGCUGGGAAUUUCUCAGUGUUUCAGCUACCUAGAACCACCUAGGCAAAUAUUUGGCAUUAGAAAAUUAGGAGCAUUUUGAUUGGAGUGAUUAGGUUGAUGCAUAGCAGUUCUAUUGCAGAAGCAGGAACAGAUAGUCUGGAAUUUUCUGACUCCAGUUUUCACAACAAAUUAAAUAUGUUUUUCAUGCACUUCCUGUGAUCUCAAUUGUGAUGAAUGCUACACCAGAGUCCAGUCCAAGCUCUGAAAAAGCCAGAAAGUGUGUGGUGACAAAAAUAGUCACAUACCAUGGUUCCAUGACUGCAUGCUUGAUUGAGAACAAGGAUUCUGCAUUAAGAUUGUACAUAGGGCAGUGUGUGGCAUCUCUUACUAUGUUCUUCUGUGGGAUCUUAACCACAUUUAACUUCCAUUUUCAAUCAGAUCUCAACACUAGGAAAUAAAAAUGCAAAUUGUACCUCGUGCAAAAUUUGGUUUAUCUCCGACUUUGAUAAAUCCAGCCUUGCAGCUUCCAGUCCCUGGGGUGUCCAAAUA
Neopelma chrysocephalum (saffron-crested tyrant-manakin) is the source of this 4458-nucleotide long non-coding RNA. RefSeq lists it as uncharacterized. The record is from RefSeq and is a predicted model, not a curated record. NCBI's taxonomy places the organism in Eukaryota, Metazoa, Chordata, Aves, Passeriformes, Pipridae. The transcript has 4 exons.